This 317-nucleotide unclassified non-coding RNA is filed under the name uncultured Tomentella. Its description in RNAcentral is "sequence contains ITS2". The record is from RNAcentral. Lineage: Eukaryota; Fungi; Basidiomycota; Agaricomycetes; Thelephorales; Thelephoraceae.
AACGCACCUUGCGCCCUUUGGCUAUUCCGAAGGGCAUGCCUGUUUGAGUAUCAUGAACAUCUCAACUCCUCACGGUUUGCCCGCGACGAGCUUGGACUUUGGGGGUCUUGCUGGCCUGCAGGUUGGCUCCUCUCAAAUGAAUCAGCUUGCCAGUGUUUGGUGGCGUCACAGGUGUGAUAACUAUCUACGCUUGUGGUUUUCCACCAGGUAACUUCCAGCAAUGGAGGUUCACUGGAGCUCACAAAUGUCUCUCCUCGGUGAGGACAGCUCUUUGAACGUUUGAUCUCAAAUCAGGUAGGACUACCCGCUGAACUUAA